CCAAUAGCGUAUAUUAAAGUUGUUGCAGUUAAAAAGCUCGUAGUUGAAUUUCGGGACCAAUCUGCCGGUCGUGCCUCCGGUACGCACUGGUUUUAUUGGUUUCUCCCUUCUGACGAACCAUGAUGUCAUUAAUUUGGUGUCAUGGGGAAUCAGGACUGUUACUUUGAAAAAAUUAGAGUGUUUAUAGCAGGCUCACGCUUGAAUACAUUAGCAUGGAAUAAUGAAAUAGGACGUUUGACCCUAUUUUGUUGGUUUCUAGGAUCGACGUAAUGAUUAAUAGGGAUAGUUGGGGGCAUUAGUAUUCAAUUGUCAGAGGUGAAAUUCUUGGAUUUAUUGAAGACUAACUACUGCGAAAGCAUUUGCCAAGGAUGUUUUCAUUAAUCAAGAACGAAAGUUAGGGGAUCGAAGACGAUCAGAUACCGUCGUAGUCUUAACCAUAAACUAUGCCGACUAGGGAUCGGAUGAUGUUGAUUUUUUAAUGACUCAUUCGGCGCCUUACG
RNAcentral lists this unclassified non-coding RNA (500 nucleotides) under uncultured Glomus. RNAcentral describes it as "SSU rRNA". It matches the Rfam family "Eukaryotic small subunit ribosomal RNA", at positions 591 to 1092 of the family's 1831-position model. Lineage: Eukaryota; Fungi; Glomeromycota; Glomeromycetes; Glomerales; Glomeraceae. The record is from RNAcentral.